CCCGGGCCGUUGGGGGUGGGGCUGCGCUGUGAGGGAGCCCAACGGUCAUCGCCGUCCCCUCAUCGUCAGCCCCGCUGCUGCCCGCUCCUCCGGCACCCGUGUUGGUAAUAGAAGAUGAAAUAUACAAUAUUGGUUAAUAUGUGUUACAUUUGCGAUGUACUGUUCCGGGGCUGCGCUUGGAAGAUACAAAAUAUAAGUGCAAGGAUAGCAUGAGAGAAUGCACCGAUUCAUGAUGAGGAGUAAGGAGGAGGACUAAAAGAAUGCCCAAUUUGCAAGAUAUCUAGAUAACUGGGGCCUCUCGGACCCCGGGAACUGGAUCAAACCAACCUUGCGGUUUGGACUGAGACCAAGGGCUCAGAGAGCAUGCAUAAGAAGAAAAGGUUAAGAAGUUCAACUCUGAUGAAGACAUCUUACUUCAUCCCGACGACCACCCGGAUGACCACCAGAGAGUAAUACACAAGCGCAGAAGGACUGAUAAGAUAAUUAGCAUACGAAGCGGGGCUAGGCGGAGCUAGGAAAUGAAUAUGCAUAGAUGUGUUGUGAAACCUAAUGCAUAUGUAAUAUUUUAGGAGAUAAAAGAGAACCAAGUGAACAAAUCGGACAAAGUUAGAUUUGGGCAGGCAUGCCCCUAACUUCCGGCGCCUAAUAAAGCACCUUCAUAUAAUCACUUUGUGGAUUAUGUGUCUUCAUGAAUGCUAACGCCCAGGCAGCGGCUCAAAGUGAAUUUCGAGGUGCUUUUCUCUCCCCCAGUGCCUAUGGGCGAACCUCAGCCUGGGCGCUGAACUUUUCCUGUGAGAACAACCCACCAGUACCGGUCACUGCUGGGCAGGCAGCCACACUGAGGGGCUCUGAGGUGGCACGGGCGUCACUGACAGGCAGACUUCUUUUUUUUGGUUGCAAGACCGCUAGGACUGAAGGACACAGGUAUUAGAUCUACUCUUGACACAUCAAUAUGAGCAUUCUGUCGUUAAAAUGUCAUAAAAGCGAUGUAAUCGCAAUUUGGUCUUGCAUCUCUUCAGUGUAGCCGAACAUUGGGAAACUGUAUCACCCUCCAGUCCUUCAAAGACAGAUUUGGCAAGGGGUCAGGCAUCCUAGCAGGAGGAUCCAAGCCUGAAUUUUGAAAGGAACUACUAUGGAUAAACCUGCAUGGGAUGUUGACCUGAAGGAGUCCUAAAAUGGCGAGGCUUCUUUUCCUACUUUUAUAUCAAAGAGUAUCUGAAAUAGCUUGGUUAACAGAGUUUUAAAAGUAUUAUCCAAGACUACAUAACCAAUUCUUCACAGAAGGUAAGUACUUCGUUGGGUAGCACUAGCAGUUAUGAGACUAUUAUGAUUAGGAUUUUAAGGAAAUGUGGUUAAAAAAAGAUACUGAGGCCUCUUCAUUCAAUAAAGUUGUCACUUGGGAUAACUAUCUAUACCACCAAAUAAACAGAAAAACUAAACUAAUCUUGGCAUUGUCAAAAAUGUUUUCUAACACAUCUUCUCCACAUUCAGAAAGCCUUUAAAAAUUAUUUGGUAGCAAUUAAAUCAAGAAAGAACCAACACACUCACUCAUACACCGAUUUAUAAUAACUUCUAAAGUUUCUAGAAAGGAAGUACUCAAACACAUUUCCAAUUGUUAUGCUGUGAUACAUUUGAAGAACUAGAAUAGUUUGAAAAUUAAACCGUAUGUUAAUGAUCACCAUGUUCCUUGAGGUUAAAUUGCUCACAAACCAGUAAAUUUAGAAAACCAGUGGCAGAAGGGUAGUUUAAAAAUAAAUUACCUCACCUUCUACAGUAGAGACAAUUUAAAUUGAUGAACUCAAAUCCAGCAUUUCGACAAAUGAAAAAUUUGGGCCUAAUGAAAAGUAAUGAAAAACUCUUCCAUUUUAACGGCCUACAUACACAGAAUGUAUUUAACUAUGCGUCUAUUUAUUAGCAUUUUAAACACAAAAUCUACGCUUCAAAGUCGUGUGGUAAAGUGGACUACCCUGGGAAAUACAGCCAGUCAGAUACAUGAAAUACAGUACUGAGGUAUUCAAAAUAAAUUGUGUUCUUGUAAGGAAUGGUCUAGCAAUUCAUGUCAGUAAGGGAUUUGAAGGGUUAACAUUGAGGCCUGGGUUUAGGUGAUAAGAGAACAAAGGGAUUUUUAGAGAAAAACUGCUGACUACUGCACGGGAUGUGCAGUAGUUUCUAACAUCCAGCCAAGAGACUACCAAAUAAAGAGGAAGGGGGAGCUGAAGGAUGAUUGAAGGGUCUGCGAGGAAGACCAUGAGACUUCAGCACGAACGACCCCCGAGAGACCACCAGAGACUGAUACGCAGGCGCCCCUGGGAGGGCUUCGGAUUCCGGAAACCAAUUAUAACAACCCUGCCUCUUCUAGAAGUAGUAAUGAAUAUGUAUUAGCCUAGGAGCAUAAAAACCAGCCGCCUUACGUAACAGGUGUGCGUCUUGGUGGAGCAGAGACUCCCGGCGCACCCAGCGCUGUUUGCUUGCUUCUAUUCGUUUAAUAAAUUGUAAACUUUGAUUGCAAUCCUAUUUGGGACUCAGUCCUUUAUAACAUUCUGUUUAAGAACUACCUUUUAUAACAACACUUUCAGAAGAAGUUAGGUAUAUCUACUCAAAAGAUUAGAAACAAGUCCCCUCUCUUCUAGCCCUUUUUUUCAUUUCAUACACCUUUCUCAAGUAUUGUAAUGCUUUAAAGUAGAAUUAUUAGUGCACUUUCAAAUUGUAUUUUGAAAACUAAUGCUGAGGAUACAGCACUGAACAUGAAAAAUUAGACUUAUUGGAUGAAUCAAUAUCCUCCUCAGUUAUUCUGGGGACACUUUUUACUGCUCUUUUCCUCCCAAGAGGAAAUAUUCUGGAUUCUGCUUUAUUUUGCAUAGCUGCUUAACUCUUCAUGACAUAAAUGCAAACCUAUUCAAGUUCCUCAGCUUCUUUCUUUUAACUAGAGUUAAGACAUAAAACUCUUUAAACACUGCAGUAUUAACCUGGAAAAGGGCUGUCACUUGAGUCUCAGAACUGACGGACAAACAAGACAGCUAUUUUGCUCACACAGUAGAACAAUACAGGGAAAAAAUGGCACACAUUUUUCAUAAUACACACACAAUGGAUUUAACUCCCUGGUAAGGACUUUUAGAAAUAAAAAUUCACUGCAAUAUUGGUUAGUUUUCCUGCAAGUCAAACUAAAAAUCAGACCAAAAAUCUUAAUUGUUGUCUCUUUUAAUUAAGAAUGACAAUUUUAUGCAGGUUUAACUACAAGGAGAAACAUUCAGGCAAUUUCAGAAACUUUUUUUUUGCUGCAACACACAAAAUCACACAAAUAUUACUCCAAAAUUUUUAAUAAAAUAAAUUCAAAUACAUCUUGUUCUCUGUCCAUAACUGUAUUGUUAAAUAUCAAAGAAAUACAUACUUUUAAGAAAACCAGGAAAAAAAUGAGCCAUAAAAGUUGGUUUGGGAUAUAUAACUCAAAAUCCAGCUUGUCAAAUUUGUCAAAAUUAAGCAAAUUCAUUGUAUCAUCAACCAGUUCAUUUAACAAAACCAUUACCAAUUCUUAAAGGACACUGCUAAAAUAUUUACAAUAAAUAAAUAAUUUACAUCACUUUAAGCAAAUGCUUUACAGUUUCCUGAAUCAAGUGAAUAAAAUCAAAAGUACCAAUGCAAAUUAUAUACUAACAAAUGUGGAAAACAAUUCCUUCUACAAAAGGAAUUGUACGAGGAGAAAAAUGUAAUAGUCUAUUGCAUAUCAUACUUUAGAAACAAUACAUACACACAUCUACAGAUUCCCAAUACAAUCUUCAUUUAUUCCUCCCCACAUCCUCCCCAAGAGGUUGAAUAUGGUCCAGAUGCCUAAAUAAGUAAAUGCAGCAGCAUGCACUCAUGUUUGUCACCAUGUUUUAAGGUAGGGACAAACCUGUUUACAAAAGCCAUUACUGUCAAGUACCUAAUAUACUUACAGCCUUCGAUAAACUAAAUUGAGAACAUUAAGCUCCACAGAAAAGGUACAUAAUGCUUUGCAAGAUUAGGCCCAUACUAACUGCCUUAAGAUCUUUUCCAGCACUUGUCACUGUACAAGUUCCCCCUGCUUUUCUUUGUGUAGAUAGAGCAUUUUCUUUUUAGAAUAGAAUGCAUGCAAAUAAACUGUUUUCUGAAUUGCAAGAUUACAAAUAAUGUUCAACACUUCGUGUCAUAAUUUAUUGAAAUGUCUGAGAGGACUUUCAUAUGUACCUAUCUGAAGAUAUGUGCAUUGUUCUUACCAUACAGAAAAUUUGUACAAAAGGA
Cygnus olor (mute swan) is the source of this 4257-nucleotide long non-coding RNA. RefSeq lists it as uncharacterized. The transcript has 2 exons. Lineage: Eukaryota; Metazoa; Chordata; Aves; Anseriformes; Anatidae. The record is from RefSeq and is a predicted model, not a curated record.